CAGUGGGGAAUAUUGCACAAUGGGCGCAAGCCUGAUGCAGCGACGCCGCGUGAGGGAUGACGGCCUUCGGGUUGUAAACCUCUGUUAGCAUCGAAGAAGCGAAAGUGACGGUAGGUGCAGAGAAAGCGCCGGCUAACUACGUGCCAGCAGCCGCGGUAAUACGUAGGGCGCGAGCGUUGUCCGGAAUUAUUGGGCGUAAAGAGCUUGUAGGCGGUUGGUCGCGUCUGCUGUGAAAGGCCGGGGCUUAACUCCGGUUUUGCAGUGGGUACGGGCUAACUAGAGUGCAGUAGGGGAGACUGGAAUUCCUGGUGUAGCGGUGGAAUGCACAGAUAUCAGGAGGAACACCGAUGGCGAAGGCAGGUCUCUGGGCUGUAACUGACGCUGAGAAGCGAAAGCAUGGGGAGCGAACAGGAUUAGAUACCCUGGUAGUCCAUGCCGUAAACGUUGGGCACUAGGUGUGGGGGACAUUCCACGUUUUCCGCGCCGUAGCUAACGCAUUAAGUGCCCCGCCUGGGGAGUACGGCCGCAAGGCUAAAACUCAAAGGAAUUGACGGGG
This 556-nucleotide ribosomal RNA is filed under the name Rothia dentocariosa. RNAcentral describes it as "bacterial SSU rRNA". It matches the Rfam family "Bacterial small subunit ribosomal RNA", at positions 352 to 918 of the family's 1533-position model. Lineage: Bacteria; Bacillati; Actinomycetota; Actinomycetes; Micrococcales; Micrococcaceae. The record is from RNAcentral.